GAAGAGGAGAGAAACAUCAAUGUGCGAUGGAAACAUCUAUCGUUUGCUUCUCGUACGCCCCCUACUGGUACCUAGCGCACAAUUCAGGCAUGUACCCUGACCCAAACAAACGGAGGACUAUUCAGUCCACAGGCUGCUGCUCAGUGCACGGAGCCACACCAGCCAGAACCGGACCAUAGCCAUUUGUGUGGGCCUCUGUGUUUCAUCCGUGGUCUGAAGCUUCUCUUUAUUGACAAUGAAUUUCUACUCAUUAAGAAGAAUCUCAGUAUGUCAUGCGUGAAAGGCACCUCAGAGAUUUGUUCACCCUCCUCAUUUUGAAGAUAAAAAACAAAAGGCAAAGGUGGUAAAAAAUAUUUAAAGUCAUUCAAUUAAGUUAAGAAAAGGGCUCCUUAGUACCACAAAGAGCAUUACCAGAAGAUAAGGACUAUUCGCAGUAAAGGGACAUCUGCUUUCCAUAAAACCUGACCAAAUGAAACACGGGGGAUGGUCACUGCUUAGUGUUUGUGAUGAAGGCACUCGAAUGAUGACAUUUCCAGAGAUAUUUCAUCCCACUGAAGAGGGGACACUGGGAAUCCUGAGAGUGAUGAGUGGUUUGAAGACUCUCAUAAAGCAGGAGAGGAGAUAAGGAUCUGUGAGCCCAAAGAAGAGGAUGCAAAAGAGUCAGGGAC
Artibeus jamaicensis (Jamaican fruit-eating bat) is the source of this 668-nucleotide long non-coding RNA. RefSeq lists it as uncharacterized. NCBI's taxonomy places the organism in Eukaryota, Metazoa, Chordata, Mammalia, Chiroptera, Phyllostomidae. The record is from RefSeq and is a predicted model, not a curated record. The transcript is spliced from 3 exons.